GAGGAGUGUCAGUGAUAGUUCGGCCGAAAAGGGGCGGAGCUACGCGGACCAAGGGGGCGGAGCUACACAGGAUCAUGCUAUUGAAGAUCUGGCCAGCACAACUGUGCAGCAGAGAAUGAAUCGUGUAAUGAUAAUCUCAGGCCGGACCAAUUAUUGGCCUUUAAAGUGAAGACACUAAAGACAACGGUGACUACAUCUCCUGCAAUGAGGAUGGAUGCGGCUUACUACUGUACAUAGAAUAGCAAUCAGCUACAUUAUCUCGUUACUCAUUAAGGUAAU
Molecule: long non-coding RNA, 279 nt
Organism: Pseudophryne corroboree (corroboree frog)
Lineage: Eukaryota; Metazoa; Chordata; Amphibia; Anura; Myobatrachidae
Exons: 2
Source: RefSeq, a predicted model, not a curated record